GGCUCAGAUUGAACGCUGGCGGCAUGCCUUACACAUGCAAGUCGAACGGCAGCACGGGAGCUUGCUCCUGGUGGCGAGUGGCGAACGGGUGAGUAAUACAUCGGAACGUACCCUGAAGUGGGGGAUAACGUAGCGAAAGUUACGCUAGUACCGCAUAUUCUGUGAGCAGGAAAGAGGGGGAUCGCAAGACCUCUUGCUUUAGGAGCGGCCGAUGUCGGAUUAGCUAGUUGGUGAGGUAAAGGCUCACCAAGGCGACGAUCCGUAGCGGGUCUGAGAGGAUGAUCCGCCACACUGGGACUGAGACACGGCCCAGACUCCUACGGGAGGCAGCAGUGGGGAAUUUUGGACAAUGGGCGCAAGCCUGAUCCAGCCAUGCCGCGUGAGUGAAGAAGGCCUUCGGGUUGUAAAGCUCUUUCGGUGGGGAAGAAAUUGCACAGGAUAAUACCUUGUGUAGAUGACGGUACCCGCAUAAGAAGCACCGGCUAACUACGUG
Molecule: ribosomal RNA, 493 nt
Filed under: uncultured bacterium
Lineage: Bacteria
Description: bacterial SSU rRNA
Rfam family: Bacterial small subunit ribosomal RNA
Source: RNAcentral